GAUGAACGCUAGCGGGAGGCUUAAUACAUGCAAGUCGAGGGUAACAGGGGCUUCGGCCCGCUGACGACCGGCGCACGGGUGAGUAACGCGUACGCAACUUACCUCCAAGCGAGGGAUAGCCCUGGGAAACUGGGAUUAAUACCUCAUGUGAUUAUGAUGCCGCAUGGUGUUAUAAUUAAAGUUCAGGCGCUUGGAGAUGGGCGUGCGUCCUAUUAGCUAGUUGGUGAGGUAACGGCUCACCAAGGCGACGAUAGGUAGGGGCGUGAGAGCGUGGCCCCCCACCACGGGUACGUGAGACACGGACCCGACUCCUACGGGAGGCAGCAGUAAGGAAUAUUGGACAAUGGGCGCAAGCCUGAUCCAGCCAUCCCGCGUGCAGGAUGACAGCCCUACGGGUUGUAAACU
Molecule: ribosomal RNA, 405 nt
Filed under: uncultured bacterium
Lineage: Bacteria
Description: bacterial SSU rRNA
Rfam family: Bacterial small subunit ribosomal RNA
Source: RNAcentral